AUGGUGUUGGUGUUUCGCAAAAAGUAUGGCCACUUGAACCUGACUUUUUCUAUUGGAGAGCAGAUCAGUUCUGAUAACAGAAGAUCCACACUAAACAUAGCAUGUCCAUCAGAGGAGCAAAUGUUGUUUAUCACUGCAUCUCUUCACAUGUUGGCAAGCCUGAUAUCUAUGAAGGCACUAUACAAGGUGGUGGCGCCGUACCUGCUUGGUGCGGACAGGAGAAGAUGCAGGGGCUCCGCUUCUCGACCUCGUCGACAUCAUCGUGCCCCUCCACCGCUGGUUUUGUUACUCAGGCGGCACUACGGCUCUACUAUGGCAGGCCUGCUUGUGGCUCAGCUCGCAGCCUCAGUCGAUUUGCUCUGCGUCUCCAACCGUCCAAAGAUCCCAACCCUAUCAUCGUCUCCUACCACGAGCUCGGCAACGAGAUCGGACACGGCAAGUUCGGCUCCGUUCGGAUCUAUGCCGUUCAAGAGGUUCGUGCUGAUCGGGUGGGUGGCCCUGGUGAACUACGGCAAGGACUACGGCCGCCUCGUCGUCAUCGUCGACGUUGUUGACCAGAACAGGCUGCAUUGCUCUGUUAUACACUUAUACCACUGUUUAUUGGUAUAUCCCCAAGAACGUCGAGGACACGGUCCACCGCGAGGUCGAGAUCAUGCAACACCUCUCGGGCCACCCCGCCGUCGUCACGCUGAAGGCCGUCUGCGGUGGUUGCAAAUCGAAGCAGCUGAAAGGGACAAGGCGAUUGGGAGUCAGGGACUACAUAUCCCUCCUCUCCUUGAUUUUCUGUCCAAAAUAUAA
This 798-nucleotide ribosomal RNA is filed under the name Triticum aestivum (bread wheat). Its description in RNAcentral is "partial small subunit ribosomal RNA". The record is from RNAcentral. Lineage: Eukaryota; Viridiplantae; Streptophyta; Magnoliopsida; Poales; Poaceae.